CAUUAGAUCACCAAUCAUGGCUGCAAGCUCAUAACUAUGUCUUGUAUAACUCUGACAACACAGAACUUUUUCUGAAAGAACACAUUGAUUACCUUUCAUCUGUUGGUAACCGAAGUAGCCAACAAAUCAACUUCAACGCCACGAGACAUUCCAUGAAUGGUUUCGACUUCAACUGCCUCGAGGAUGACCAUGUGGCGGCGCUGCGUCCGAACACCACACGCUGCAGACGCUGCCCCCCCCCCGCCUCCCAAGCCCCGGCCUUGGCUCCCCAGGCGGUCUUCUCGGUUCGUCCUCUGGUCGAGCGCGUGAUUAUCCCGCGUUCCCCGGCGGUCCAAACCAAGACGCGGAAGAUGGUCUUCGCUGGAGUUUGGUGGUCUCCCUGUCUGGCGAGAGAAGGCGCGUCCCGGCAUCGGAGGUCAGAGGAGUGAUCAGUCGGCUCUGCCCGGCGGUGGCAGAUCACUUCUCCCUCCGGCCAUUUUGGCCUGCAGAAUUCCUCUGCAUCCUCGAUUCCCGUGGUGCGCGUGAUGCUCAUGUUGAUGCGUGACAACACCAGUGCCGCCACAGGUGGAGGCCUCAAUGAGGGAGGCAUGAGCAGCGACGAUGGCCUCGGCGAUUGUCUCCAAAAUUGGCGCUGCUAAAGUCGGGUCUGUGUGGAGCCUGCGACCAAACCCGGCGAAUUGGCGCUGAACAAAGCUGAAGAGAUGACCUGGAGUCCAUUGAAUAUCUUCUUUUGUAUUUUCUUAGAGGAAGGGUUUAAAAGCUGCCACAAAGAAGCAGAAGUAUGAGAAAAUAAGUGAGAAGAAGCUUUCAACACCUAUCGAGGUUUCAUGUAAAUCCCAUCCUAUGGAACUCGUUUCUUACUUCCACCGUUGACAUUUGAUCAACAACCAGACUAUGGUUUUCUGCGAUCAUUAGAGAUCUGUCUGACCGUGAAGGUAUAGCAUCAGAAGCACUACUCUUUUUUUUUAUAAUCACUUAUCUCCAGUCAUUAAUCCACAUCGAAACCAUUACAAGCAUUUACAAUAUCUCCUAACACCUCAGAAGGAAACCACCAGACAGAUGAGCACGACUAAAUUGAGCCAGAAUAUGGGCCCCAAUAUUUUGGGAACGCGCCACCUUCGCAAUUCCCCCGACCUGGGCCCGGAGGAGAAGAAGUCUGGUUUCUUCAAUAGCUUGAAACCAACGGGCUUUGAUUCUAUAUUUGGACUUCAGUGCUUCGAUCACAUCAAGACAAUCGGUCUCCAGGUAGAACGGCUUGUUCAGGUUUUCUACUGCAAUACUGACAGGCAAGCGAUUCAGCUUCAGUUGCACUUUCCACUCACAGGAGGCUGCCCCAAGCAGAAAAGACCACCCGGCCAUCACGAUCCAUCGCCACAGCACCCCAUGAGGCCGCAUCCUCACCUGCAACGAGGCUUGCAUCUGUGCUCAGUUUGAUCAAGGUCAUCCUGGAGAGACAACAGGAAAUUCGCAGAGUCGUUGAUUGAUUUGUCUCCUUUUCCAAAAAUUACGUCAUUACGCAGAAACCAUGUCCGCCGCCAGAAUAAGAGUAAAUUCCUUCUAACAUCAAUCGCUGAAUUGGCAAGUAGUACCAGAACCCAGUCACAUCCAGAAUUCAGGAGAUCAUGCUCCUCUGGCAAGCUCCAGUGAACGCGGAGAGCAUCUCGGAGAGCUUUGGCUUUGGUGCAGCGAAUGACUUCAUGGAAUCCAUCUUCCUCUUCCAUCCCACAAAUAGAGCAGGUAGGUUGUUCCUUUUUUAAACGUCUGCUUCUAGAUUGUUGAACAGCCAACGAAUUGGUAGCCAACUUCCAGGCGAACAUCCUGACUUUAGGCAGCACGGGCGCCUUACAAACCAGAUUCCAAAGGCUACGAUCCCCGCCAGGACUCACACUGGAUCCGGUCUGGGAAUCAAGAUUUUGCAGGUCAAGAGCAAGCUUAUAAGCACUUCUUACCGUGAAAUUGCCAAACUUUUCCGGAAACCACGCUACGAGGUCGUCCCCAGAAUAAUUAGGUAGGCGAAUCUUGAGAAUCUCUUCCGCAUGGUGUUGUUGCAUAACAGACCGGAUCAGAGGCUUGUUCCAAGAUUUGUUGUCUGGCAAAAUUCUUGAAACCCAUCUUAAUCUUGAGCGUUUAGUGGGAGUUUUCUGAACACCUUUAGGGAUCCAGCUGUCCCUCCAGAUCCUCACUUUUUCUCCAUAGUUUAUUCUGCAAAUCAAACUCUUAAUUAAUUCAAGCCCAUGAACUAUGCCUUGUCAGCAUUGUGAUGCGUUUAUUCCGCAAAUCAAACUCUUAAGUAAUUCAAGCCCAUGAACUAUGCCUUGUCAGCAUUGUGAUGCGUUGUGGAUAAAUGCCGUGUCCGUCAGAUCACCGUGGGGAUAGUACCUCGCGUUGAGAAGCUUCGCACAUAGACUGUCAGGUUGGUCAAUCAGCCGCCAUGCCUGUCUUGCCAGGAGGGCCUGGUUAAACAACUUCAGGUCUCUGAAACCAACCCCUCCCCUGCAUUUCGGAUUUAUAAGCCUCUCCCAGCUCAGCGAAUGUACUUCGGUCCUGUCAUUUUCACCGCCCCACCAAAAUCUACGUGUCUGCUGCAUCCCCCCCAUCAGAAGCACUAUCCAUUAUGUAUUAUAUGAUAUAUGCUCUGUAACUUGUUUAGUUGUUGGUCGACUGUAGGUUACCAGUUUGACCAUGGCUUCGACUGGACAUUGUUGAAGUGUAAGCAGAUCCAGAAGGUGAAGGCUCAACGGGUAGUCUAAGCAAGUAAUUGAAUGGCAGUACAUGGCACGAUACAGUGACGUUACCCUUUUUUAUCUAUUAUGCUACUCAUAGUGGAAGUAAUUUAGGUAGUAACAUAAGUACCAACUAGAUAUUUUCAUGACAUGACAUGGUAAUAAAUGAAGAAUCUAUUAUGCUACUCAUAGUGGGAGUAACUUAGGUAAUAACAUAAGUGACAACUAGGCAUUUCGAUGACAUGGCAUGGUAAUAAAUGAAAAAAAAAGAGUAAGGCGGUAACUAAAUAUGUUAAUAAAUAUGACAUCACACAAAUCAAGACAAAAUGAGUCUAUAUCAUAAUAAAUGACACAAUGCAUGACACUACAAAUAAAUUAUUACCCACUUUGGAGGUAGUAACUUAGAAUAGUAACAUACAUAUGUUACUACUUCAAGUUACUCCCACCAGCCUUCCUAUAUUUGACUGACUUGCUGAUUUUGCUCUUUUUUAUCAAUGACAGCAAGAUCCAGGUGUAAGCAGCAUGCAGAUUCCAAUGAAUAUGGACAAACAUCAAGUUUGAUAUUUUUCUGCUGUAUCAGUGCUGUUAAGCAUUAAAAUUAUUUUUGAAUAUCAUUGCUUCCCUUGUUAUAGUGAAUUAUAGGCUUGAUUAGAAAAAACUC
Molecule: long non-coding RNA, 3384 nt
Organism: Brachypodium distachyon (stiff brome)
Lineage: Eukaryota; Viridiplantae; Streptophyta; Magnoliopsida; Poales; Poaceae
Exons: 5
Source: RefSeq, a predicted model, not a curated record